CCGAGUUAUUACUCUAAACCUUGUUUACCAUCUGUUGCUUCGGGAGCGCCCCUCGGGAGGGGAUUUGCUUCGGCCGCUCCCAAAAGCCAAAAGCUAUUAAACUUGUUUUAUCUGAAUCUUGAAAAAAAUC
This 130-nucleotide unclassified non-coding RNA is filed under the name uncultured fungus. RNAcentral describes it as "sequence contains ITS1". The record is from RNAcentral. Lineage: Eukaryota; Fungi.